RNAcentral lists this unclassified non-coding RNA (1860 nucleotides) under Yarrowia lipolytica. The record is from RNAcentral. Lineage: Eukaryota; Fungi; Ascomycota; Dipodascomycetes; Dipodascales.
ACGAUGUAUGAUACAUGUGCAGGGAUGUACUACACCUCAGACUGUGCAGCGACACCAGACUCUCUACACCAGACUCAGCGACACCAGACUCUGUGAUUCCAGAAUCUCUACACCAGACUCUCUACACCAGACUCAGUGACACACAACGGCCAGAGGAGCAGUUCUGUUCACUUUCAUCCAGUCACUCUCACCGUCCUGCCAGACAUUGCUCCAGAUAUUGGGCAGACACGCCCGACUUGCCACAGACGUGCCACAGGCAGGUUGAAGAAUCAGCUCAUUCUCCAAACCGCAACUUCAGCUGCCUGGAGAAAGUCCACUCCAGAACAAAGGUCUGAAACAAGCUUAGACAAGCUUAGACAAGCCAGCCAGACAAGCCAGACAAACGCCUAGUGCGACUCAGGUGAGACUCAGGUGAGCGCCAGCUCCUCUGCCCCUCUGCUCCUCUGCUUCUCUGCUUCUCUGCUCCUCUGCUCCUCGCCCUCUCGGCUCCUCCGCAUCGGUCCACGCACGUCUACAGGGUAGGUUUACUUCCGGGAACCUAAUGAGCCAGGGAGGUUGGACUUGCUCGAAGAAACAAACGUCACCAGUUGGUGGCCGGAAACGUCGGGCACGUCAGCGAAAGACGGGCGGGGUAAGUCGACGAAGCCCUGUCGAUUCGUGCAGUCGAGCCUGCGCGGCGCGGACACCGGCUCUGCUGGCGCACUUUUUGGCCUCAGGUAUGGCCAGUAGGAGCAAGUGGAUGAUGAGAACGAGUGGCAGGCAUGUGAGAGCGAGAUACGGAAGAUGGCCGAGAAUUGGCCGGAAAGCUCCUGUUAAUGCACGGGACUCAACCGCCCUGGCCAAACGCUGAUCAACAAGGCCCACCUACAGUGGUACGAGUACAAGUACGAAAGUGGACAAAGUGGUGAGUUCGGUGGAGGUAUGUUAUCGACGCCGGGAAAUGGACACGUAAGAAGAUGCAGUUGGACUCUGCUGAUCUUAGCGAGAACUCUUCUUGUGACAGAAGCAACAUCUAAUGCUGCUCUAGACAUUGCCAUGUACAAUACGGUAGUCUUGAGAAGAUGAAAUGUGUUUCACUAGACAGAAAAAGUGAGUUUCGAACCGACAACUGGAAGUAAAAGACAAGGACAAAGUCGAACCCGAGAUCAUGAAUGCUCCACCAUUGUACGUAUCUACUUUAUGUACGUGCGUACUUUCCUGUAGUAUCAUGUAGUUGCUCCGCUUCGCUCCUAGUUCAUCACGUGACCAGCCACCUUGGCGGUUCCUUGUCAGUUCCUUGUCAGUUCCUUGUCAAUUCCUUGUCAGUUCUUGUCAGUUUCUUGUCAGCCCCUUGUCAGUUCCGCUUCACAACCCUCCUCGAAACGUGCUGUUCUAGACCCUUCUACUGGACUUCAGAUAUGCUCAAAAUAUGCAUAUAUGACACUAACGAGCGUUGAUCCGGCUGAAACCUUAAACUUCACUUUUGUGACCUUAAAAAUACAGAUGAGUACAACAGCUGAUAGACAGCGACACAGUGCCAUUACCGACAAAUAAAUCAAUGCGUUCGACUGGUCCAAUCUCCACAAACAUAAUGAUACUAAUUUCUAACUAUUUCGGGCAACUUCAAGAAAUGUCCAUUUUUUUCCCAUCUCCCACCCACCCACAACAUCCGCCUUGUCAUACCCACCACACUCGCAAUGUCACCCCACCCACAACUCCCACCAUGUCCCCGCAACUCCCACCAUAUCACCCCACAACUCCAAUGUCUCCUCAUUACAUGUCCCAUGUCAUUUAAGGCACCCACAACGUUCAAAGUCCUGCCCUGCAUCAUGGAACACAAAUACAGAAAUACUUUCCUGAUCACUGACUCCAUCUCUACAU